GACGAACGCUGGCGGCGUGCCUAAUACAUGCAAGUUGAGCGAUGAAGAUUGGUGCUUGCACCAAUUUGAAGAGCAGCGAACGGGUGAGUAACGCGUGGGGAAUCUGCCUUUGAGCGGGGGACAACAUUUGGAAACGAAUGCUAAUACCGCAUAACAACUUUAAACAUAAGUUUUAAGUUUGAAAGAUGCAAUUGCAUCACUCAAAGAUGAUCCCGCGUUGUAUUAGCUAGUUGGUGAGGUAAAGGCUCACCAAGGCGAUGAUACAUAGCCGACCUGAGAGGGUGAUAGGCCACAUUGGGGCUGAGACACGGCCCAAACGCCUACGGGAGGCAGCAGUAGGGAAUCUUCGGCAAUGGACGAAAGUCUGACCGAGCAACGCCGCGUGAGUGAAGAAGGUUUUCGGAUCGUAAAACUCUGUUGGUAGAGAAGAACGUUGGUGAGAGUGGAAAGCUCAUCAAGUGACGGUAACUACCCAGAAAGGGACGGCUAACUACGUG
RNAcentral lists this ribosomal RNA (497 nucleotides) under uncultured bacterium. RNAcentral's name for it is "partial 16S ribosomal RNA". It matches the Rfam family "Bacterial small subunit ribosomal RNA", at positions 28 to 507 of the family's 1533-position model. The record is from RNAcentral.